This 510-nucleotide ribosomal RNA is filed under the name uncultured bacterium. Its description in RNAcentral is "bacterial SSU rRNA". It matches the Rfam family "Bacterial small subunit ribosomal RNA", at positions 15 to 518 of the family's 1533-position model. The record is from RNAcentral.
GAUUCUGGCUCAGGAUGAACGCUAGCGACAGGCUAACACAUGCAAGUCGAGGGGCAGCACGGGAGUAGCAAUACUUGGUGGCGACCGGCGCACGGGUGAGUAACGCGUAUGCAACCUACCUAUCAGAGGGGAAUAACCCGGCGAAAGUCGGACUAAUACCGCAUAAAACAGGGGCACCGCAUGGUGAUAUUUGUUAAAGAAAUUCGCUGAUAGAUGGGCAUGCGUUCCAUUAGGUAGUUGGUGAGGUAACGGCUCACCAAGCCGACGAUGGAUAGGGGAACUGAGAGGUUGGUCCCCCACACUGGUACUGAGACACGGACCAGACUCCUACGGGAGGCAGCAGUGAGGAAUAUUGGUCAAUGGGCGGGAGCCUGAACCAGCCAAGUCGCGUGAAAGGAAGAAGGAUCUAUGGUUCGUAAACUUCUUUUGCAGGGGAAUAAAGUGCAGGACGUGUCCUGUUCUGUAUGUACCCUGAGAAUAAGGAUCGGCUAACUCCGUGCCAGCAGCGGC